RNAcentral lists this long non-coding RNA (803 nucleotides) under Equus asinus (donkey). RNAcentral describes it as "lncRNA (ENSEASG00005035035.1)". The record is from RNAcentral. Lineage: Eukaryota; Metazoa; Chordata; Mammalia; Perissodactyla; Equidae.
AAUAUGCUCAGCCGUGUUCACUCAUUCAUAGAACUGGAAGUGCAACACAGAGUUAACUUCCUUGGGUUAACUCUUGUCUAAUGAGAGACAGAAGCUGGUAGACAAAUAUUUCUUUCUUCACUGUCUUGCCCUGACAGCCCUGAAGGGCACUCUACAUGGUUUUUUAGAGGACUCCAGUAGGACCCAGCCACAAUGGCCUAUGGAACUGACAGCCUUCCUGGAGAGAUGACGCUUUCUUGAACUGGAGGAAUCAAUUAGUGACAUAUGCAAGAGAAGAGAGCAUGCCACACUUUGGGAGCAGCACGAGUUGAACCAAAGCACAGAGCUAUUGUUCUGGAAAGCACUCCCUAAUAGACAACCUGCAUGCAAGUAUCUGCCUCAGAGUUCAUUUUCUACACAAUUGGGCCUAAGGUCACACACGUUGUUCUGAAGAUGCUUUAAUGUUCUCCACGUGUAGUUGAUGGACGACUGAAGAUUAUCCUUGGAAUCGAGCAUCUCUUCCUAGUGGGACUUUGAAUGAAACCAGAUGGACCGACUGGUAUCUGCAGAGGCCUGAAUAGGAUUCCCCACCAAGUUCAAUAAUCUACAAAACAGCUGAUCCAAAUUCCAGUGCAGAUCCUAACUGCUCGGAGUUUGGGGGACUCAGGAAUGGACCAGCGAUUUGGAAUCUUAUCUUACGACGGGAGUAGCUGAGUGGAAGACAUAACAUAGUCUCUUCCACUCUUACUUAGGUUGUUUUAGUGAAGUGGUCCCUGAGGAAAUGUUCAGUGAUGCAUACAGAAUAAAAUAAAACAAAAAGUCAA